RNAcentral lists this transfer RNA (76 nucleotides) under Oxalicibacterium solurbis. Its description in RNAcentral is "tRNA-Thr". It matches the Rfam family "tRNA". From Rfam's summary of the family: Transfer RNA (tRNA) molecules are approximately 80 nucleotides in length. Their secondary structure includes four short double-helical elements and three loops (D, anti-codon, and T loops). Further hydrogen bonds mediate the characteristic L-shaped molecular structure. tRNAs have two regions of fundamental functional importance: the anti-codon, which is responsible for specific mRNA codon recognition, and the 3' end, to which the tRNAs corresponding amino acid is attached (by aminoacyl-tRNA synthetases). tRNAs cope with the degeneracy of the genetic code in two manners: having more than one tRNA (with a specific anti-codon) for a particular amino acid; and 'wobble' base-pairing, i.e. permitting non-standard base-pairing at the 3rd anti-codon position. RNAcentral also lists the same sequence under 12 other names. The record is from RNAcentral. Lineage: Bacteria; Pseudomonadati; Pseudomonadota; Betaproteobacteria; Burkholderiales; Oxalobacteraceae.
GCCGGCUUAGCUCAUCAGGUAGAGCACAUGAUUUGUAAUCAUGGGGUGGCGGGUUCGAGUCCUGCAGCCGGCACCA